UACGUAGGGGGCAAGCGUUAUCCGGAUUUACUGGAUGUAAAGGGAGCGUAGACGGCGAUGCAAGUCUGAAGUGAAAGGCGGGGGCCCAACCCCCGGACUGCUUUGGAAACUGUAUGGCUGGAGUGCAGGAGAGGUAAGUGGAAUUCCUGGUGUAGCGGUGAAAUGCGUAGAUAUCAGGAGGAACACCGGUGGCGAAGGCGGCCUGCUGGACUGCAACUGACGUUGAGGCCCGAAAGCGUGGGGAGCAAACAGG
Molecule: ribosomal RNA, 253 nt
Filed under: uncultured bacterium
Lineage: Bacteria
Description: partial 16S ribosomal RNA
Rfam family: Bacterial small subunit ribosomal RNA
Source: RNAcentral